RNAcentral lists this transfer RNA (73 nucleotides) under Heterocephalus glaber (naked mole-rat). It matches the Rfam family "tRNA". From Rfam's summary of the family: Transfer RNA (tRNA) molecules are approximately 80 nucleotides in length. Their secondary structure includes four short double-helical elements and three loops (D, anti-codon, and T loops). Lineage: Eukaryota; Metazoa; Chordata; Mammalia; Rodentia; Bathyergidae. The record is from Rfam by way of RNAcentral.
UGGGAUGUGGCUCAGUGGUGCAGCACUUGCCUAUCAUGCAUGGAACCCUGGGUUCAAAUUCCCAGUACUGCAA